Cinara cedri is the source of this 4394-nucleotide non-coding RNA. The record is from the annotation of a GenBank genome assembly. Lineage: Eukaryota; Metazoa; Arthropoda; Insecta; Hemiptera; Aphididae.
GACUAUGUCAUUUUUGAGUUUGCGAUUGAUGGAACGGAUUACAUCAUGAAUAUAUUAACAGUUCUGAAAUAAAACAACACAAUUAGUAUUACUAUACCAAUGAACUAGAUGAUGACAUUCAAUUAACGUCACGAAAUUUUAUUAACAAAUGGUACGUUUUAAUAUAAUUAAAUUAUCAAUAAUAUCUAUAAUUAAGAGUGUGUUAGAAUAUUUUUAUCGUAAAUUAACAAUUCAAAUUAAUAAACGAUUAUGCUAAUUGCACCAAUUAAAUUUUUUAUCCAAAAAUUUGAGUUUGUAUUUUUAAAUAUUUAUUGUUAAAAAAUAUAAAUGUUCGAGUUUAUUUGUACACAUUAAUUAUUUUGGUGAAUAAUAAAAUUAAUUAGUUCUGAAAUUGUUUAAAUCAUGUCGUAUUAAAUGUAAAUAAUGCAAAUCAUAUAUUAGAUAGGUACGUAAUUGUUUUUAUAAUUUGGCAUUGAUUGACAAAAAAAAUAAAACUCAAUAUUUUUGUUGAUAUGAAAAAAUAAAAAUUUUAAUCCUAAUAAUCCUAAUUUAUUUAUCCGAUUCUUAGUAAAAUUUAAAAAUAUAAAAAAAACCAGUGAUACAUGAAUUAAAGGACUAAAAUAGGUGAGUCAAAUUUAUUAGAUCGUUCAUUUUUAUAAGUAAAAUACUGCAAUUUAAAAAAAAAAUAAAUAUUGACUGGCAGUGUAAGUAUAUAUUUACCAUCAAUUGGCUGGCAGCGAGAGUGGCCUUGGCGACGAUUUUGGCGGCCUUGGCAGAUUGGACUUGUCCUACGACAACGAUGUUCAUGAUGGAUACUUUUUCAGCGCCCAUUUUUGGUGACUUUGGUUCGAGUUGAGUGGAAACUGAUUAAAAACUGCAAUAAAAAAAAAAAAUAAUAAUAAUAAUAUUAGAUUACUGUUAAUUUUUUUCGCACGCGUGCUUCGAAGACUACUCACCGAAGACAAAAAUCUCACGAAAAUAUGCUAUGUUGAAAUGACGAUCGUGGAUGCCUUUAUAUAGGAACGUAAUAUUACGCGAAAUGCUCGCGCUAUAUUUUGCGAUAAGACGAUAUGGUGUUUUUCGUCUGAUAACGACUAGGUAGUACUGUGGUGUUACUGUCUGCUGAUAAAGAGUAUUUUUUUGUUUUUUAUUCUUAAAUAUAAUCGUAUUGAAAUAAUUAGGAAUUAUGAAUAUAUUACAGGUAUAAAUAACAUUCAUUACAUUAAUGUAUUAGGCGUUUGUAUUAUUGGCUACACCGGCACAGUAUUUAAGAGACCCAAUACAUUUCCUAUACAUUAACAAACUAUUUAUAUGAAUAUAUUAUUAUGCCAUUUUUGGCGAAUAGUCAAUAUUGUCUUGUAACUGUAAUAUAACUUUGAUUUAACUUCGAUAAUAAUAAAAAAAAAAACCGUAAUCGAAUUUUCUAAGAAUAAAUUCAAUCUUAAUAGUGGCAUGUAUAUGAUUUUUGAAAGGAAGGAGACAAUUUUCGAAAUGGCAUUUCCCAGUUUCACACCUAUAACAGUGGCUGCUAUCGUUUUUAUUAUCCUAGGAAAGCUUUUCAAUUAUGUUAAUAGGUUAAUUCAUCUGAAUUUUAAAAUUCAUAAAUAGUUAUUCCUGCUGAACGCAAAUUGGCGGGAAUGACGUCGCUUAGCUAUGUCCCCCCCCCAAAAAAAGAAAUAUAAUUAAUUAAAACGUAAUUAAGUGUUUAAAAAAUAUAAUAUUGUUGUGGAAUUUUUUUUUUUAGAUUCAGUGGGAAGAGAAGUAUAGUUAGGUUAGGUCAGGGGUCGGCAAAAUUUUGCGUCGGAAUAGCUAAAAGUUACAAUAUACAAAAUUGUCCAGAUUUUAAAGAGUCAAUAAAAAUUUUCUUAAUUUGUUUAAUAUUAAUUUAUUUUUAAACUUUAACAGUUAUAAAAAUAAAAUACUACAGUUAUUAAAUAGAUAGUUAUAUCAUUGGGAGCAUUGGCUUUGCAUUUUUUUUGAAAAUUUUGUUAAAUAUGUUCAUAAUAUGUUUAAGUUUCAAGCACGACACUUGAUUUUUAUUAGUUAUUUGGCUUCUUACUUUAUUUUUUAUUGUAUUCAUGCAAAAGUACACUUGCUCGCGUGAAUAAGCCGACCAAAAAAUUGCCAGCACUCCAAAUGCCAACUUCAGAACCUCACUGUGGCGUUUUGGUAUACUACUCGUAUUCCAUGUGUCGAAUAUAAAUUUAUUUAUUCGCGGUAUUUCUUUUAGGGCUGUCCAUUUGUUCUACGCAACGUGCAUGCAUAUUUUGACCUCCAAUUCUUCAAACUUGCUCUUAAAUUUUGUAAAUUUUCCACUCCACAAGUCUUUGCUUUUUAAAUCCAACAAUUGCAUUUAAAACGAUACAGCAUCAAUUCCAAAUGGUUCAAUGUUGAUCUCAUGUGUGUUUGUGUUGAGACGAUUUACUACGAACGCGAGAGUACUUUUGUUUGUUUUGAAUUGUUUUAUAAUUAUGUAAAUGUAAUUUAUGUCAAUAAUUGCACUGGUUUCAUUGAGAUAUUGACUAAUUAGUUAUAGAUAACGUCGCAUAAUUUAUAUCGAUAUAGUGAUCGGUUUUAACGGCAUGUACUAUAAUAAUCAUUUUCCUACGACAGUCUGUGCAACGAGCGGACACUAUCAAGUUAUUGCUGUUAUGUAUUAUUUCAUACUUACAAAUGUAACAAAAAUAAUAUACAUUUUUUUUUUUUAGAAUAUUGACCAUAAAAUAAUUAGUUUUUGAGGAGCGUGGAACUGGAGAACCGCAACUUAAGAUCGAAAGAGCCACAUGUGGCUCGCGAGCCGCAGGUUGCCGACCCCUGAGUUAAGUCAAUUAAUUUUGCUAAGAUGUAUAAUUUUUUUUAUGUGCAUUGCGGAGGUCAUAAGAAUAUGUUGAUUAACAAAUACUAUAAAUUCCUUGACAAAAAUUGGAAAUUUUAGGUUUAGGUUUUAGUUGCAUUAUAUUUAUAUUGGAGCUAAUGAGAAAUGCUCAUUUUGAAUAACGGCAAUGGCAUGUUGGCCAAAUUAUAUGACAUUAUAUUGAAAAUCUAGGACACUGGGAAAUCGAAUACAUUUUGGCAGCCGUUCUUUUUGGCCAGUCUAUAGAACAACUAUUAAUUGCGUGCCGAUUUUUAACGUUAUGAAUUAUGGGAUGUAAUUGAUUUUUUUUGUUUAAAUAAAUAGUAAUUGUUCUUAAACAUAGUUGAUUUAUAUUUAGGACAUUAAAUUCAUUAUAUAGUUUUUUUGUUAAUAUUUAUAAUUGUUUUUGCAAGCGAUUCUAAUAAUAGUAAUUUGAAACUUUUAAAGCUGGGAUAGAGCAUGAUAUACAUUAGAAUUGUACUUAAAACAAUUUAAAUAUGUAUCACCGAUUUUGACAAUAAUUUGAUAUUUGCCUCGGAGAUGAGAAUAUGUUAGGCAAACUUUUUAUUAAUAAAAAUACAUAGUUUUGCAAAUAUAACGAUAGUUGAUAAUAACGUAUGAGCAUAAUAGUGAUUUAUAAUCGGUUAAUAAUCGAACCAUAGAUGUUAUCGCAAACGAACACGCCAUAUCACCUCAUUCUACAUAAACGACUUUCGCCUGAAUCCCUAUAAAAAUACGUGCACGAUUAUGAUUUUAGUAUAACACAGUAUUGAGCUAUUUUAUUCUCUGGUGAGUAAAUUAUCAUAUGAAACGUUUUCAAAUGUGUGACCAAAGUUAACAGUUUUUUAUUUUUUUAUUUGCAGUCGCUUCUUGACUCCACGAAAACUAAUCAAAAUCAAAAAUGGGCGCAGAAAAAGUAUCCAUGAACAUCGUCGUAGUCGGACAGGUCCAAUCAGCCAAAGCCGCCAAAAUCGUCGCCAAGGCCGCACCCGCCGACAGUCGAUUGAUGGUAAGUUUGACCGCGAGUUUACUUGUUUUGUUUGACUUUUUUCGUUUGUUCCAUUAGACUUCAUUAUGAUUGUACGCAUUAAUUAAUUCAUAUCGCAUUCUGUUAACCAUUUUACUAUGACGAUCACAGUAAAAACUUAUACGAAAUAUUAUUUAUCAAUCGAUAAAUGACUUUAAUAUAUCUAAACAUGUAUUAAAGCGAAUAUAAUAAACAAUAUCGCUUUAUUCUUAAAGCCUUUUUUUAUAAUAUAUACAAUGAAUGACAAAUAUUAACAAAUCGAGGUGACAUGUUUGACAUGAGAUAUUUUGAAUAGAGAAUCGUCGCGCUUUUUUUUUUAUUUUUUCUCGGUGCCUAAGUAUGUGAAGUCAUUGAUCAUGAUGUCGUUUGUUUGUUUCAGAACUGUUAACUCAUUUACUCAACUCAUCGAUUACACACUCAAAAAUGCCAUAGCCCAUACAAAUGUACACAAUAUUAUGUAACUUAUAAAUAUAAUGUAAAUUGACAUACAAAAAUAAACCAUUCUUUCCGUAA